This 38536-nucleotide long non-coding RNA is filed under the name Eucalyptus grandis. RNAcentral describes it as "long non-coding RNA (EGRA_LNC001310)". The record is from RNAcentral. Lineage: Eukaryota; Viridiplantae; Streptophyta; Magnoliopsida; Myrtales; Myrtaceae.
CACCUUCUCGACGGCCACCCUGAGCACCCCGUCCUGGUACGCCGCCGUCACCGUCUCCACAUUAGCGUUCUCCGGCAGCGCGAACCUCCUCAUGAACUUCCCGGUCCUCCUCUCCAUGCUCAGGUACUGGCCCCUUCCUCUUUCUCCCUCUUCCUCUCCCCACUCACGACGAGCACGUUGUCGUUCUCUACCUGGACCUUGAUCUCGCUGGCCUUUAUCCCGGGCAUGUCCACGACGAACACUGACGCAGAGAAAGCGAUGCUUUGGAAAGAAUUCCAAAAGAUGGUGUUUUAUUUUGAAUAAUGAAGUGCCGAUUACAAUAUCUUUGGCGCCUAUUUAUAAGAAGGUCGCCAUCUAGAAAAUAACAAAAUAACUUAAAUCUAGUAACAAAUUUGAAAAGAUAUUGAUAAACUAGAAAAUCUAAAAUCUAAUAACAAAUUAAAGAAACGAUAUUGAUAAACCAGAAUAUUUCAGAUAAACCAGAAUAUCUGAAAUCUAAUAAUAAAUAAAGGGAAACGCGUCAAUCAAAUAUUGUAAUCCCUUUUGCAAUCUUGAAGAUCACACAAUCCUCUUUGAUUUGUGGGACCGCCCACUCUUAUGACGCUCCAUUGUUUCCAGAAAGGCAUUUGCAUAUUGUUCUACAUCAGUCUCCUCCACUUCAGAAGAACUCGACCCCGAGUUAUGAUUAGGAUAAAGAGGAGUAUCUGGAGGAUGAUACUCAAAUAGGUCCGCUACAUUGAAUGUCGGGGAGAUGUUGAGGUCACUAGGAAGAUCAACAACAUAGGCAUUAUCAUUGAUUUUCUUCACAAUUCGACAGGGACCAACUUUCUUGUGCUUCAGCUUGUUAUAUGUACCAACAGGAAACCGUUCCUUGCGGAGGUAGACCAUUACUUCAUCACCCUCAGCAAAGACCUUGAGGCGACGAUGUUUAUCUGCAGCAACUUUGUAAACUGUAGUGGAAGCUUCUAGCUGUUGCUUCACACCCUCUUGUAUCUCUUGUAAUUUUGUUGCUAAGUUUUCAGCUGCAACACUAUAUCCUGGGACUUUGGGCAAAGGCACGAGAUCCAGUGUAUGUUGUGGCGUUCGCCCGUAGAUAACCUCAAACGGAGACUUGCCCGUGGAACGGUUGACGGUGUUGUUAAAAGCAAACUCAGCAGGAGCAAGAUACCGGUCCCAUUGCUUUGGCAUGUCACUACAAAGACACCGAAUAAUAUCCGCCAUAGUACGAUUGACAACUUCAGUUUGCCCAUCGGUUUGAGGAUGAAAGGAACUGCUAUACUGCAAAUCCGUCCCAAAUAAACGCCAGAGGGUCCUCCAAAAAUGACUAAGGAAUUUGGUAUCACGAUCAGAGGUGAUAGUUUUUGGAACACCAUGCAAACGAACUACUUCUCGAAAAAAUAAACUCGCUACAUGAGAAGCAUCAGAAGUCUUCUUGCAAGGGAUAAAGUGUGCCAUCUUUGUAAACCUGUCCACUACCACAAAAACAGAAUCCAUACCUCGUUGGGUUCGGGGAAGCCCCAACACGAAAUCCAUUGAAAUGUCUAUCCAAGGUCCAGAAGGAAUAGGUAGAGGGGUGUAAAGUCCAGUGUUCUGAGAAUGGCCUUUCGCAGUCUGACAAAUGUAGCACUUUCUCACAAAUCGUCCAACGUCCCGUUUCAAUUGAGGCCAAUAAUACCGCUCCUCAACUAAGGCAACAGUUUUAUCUCGCCCACAAUGUCCUCCAAGGGAGCCACCAUGCAGCUCUCGAAUAAGUUGUUCCCGCAAAGAGCUUCGAGGAAUGCACAACCUAUUGCCAAAGAAUAAAAAUUUGUCCUGAACGAUCAUGUCACCGUGAGAACCUGUCUCAAAACAUUUUUCCCAAAUUUCCUGAAAAUCUUCAUCAUCAGCAUAAAGAGCACAAAGGUGGUCAAAGCCCACAACGUCAGUGCGCAUGGUGACAAGUGUUGCAGCACGACGGCUAAGUGCAUCAGCGACUUUGUUCAAGUGGCCCGCCUUGUGUCGAAGCACGAAAUUGAAUUGCUCCAAAAAGGAGACCCAUCGUCCAUGCAUUCGAUUUAGAUGUCUUUGGCUCUUAAUAUAUUUGAGUGCCUGAUGGUCAGUGUUAAGGACAAACUCAUGUUGAUAAAGAUAGGGCUGCCAAUGCUUGAUAGCUCGUACUACAGCAAAGUACUCUUGCUCAUAAGUAGACCAUCGCUUGCGAACAUCAUUAAGUUUCUCGCUAAAAUAAGCAAUAGGCUUACCUUCCUAGGAAAGAAUAGCACCAAUUCCUACACUAGAAGCAUCACAGUCUAGUUCGAAUACCUUUUCAAAAUUCGGGAGCAUCAGUAUUGGUGCCGUGGAAAGUUUUUCCUUGAUGAGAGCAAAGCUGGCUUCUGCUUCGUCACCCCAAUGAAAUUUUCCUUUCUUCAAGCACUCGGUAAUCGGAGCCAUAAUAGAACUGAAAUUCCGAAUAAAGCGUCGGUAGAAUGUCGCAAGCCCGUGGAAGCUACGCGCCUCCCCAACGGUUUGGGGAGUCGGCCAGUCGCGGAUGGUAGCUACCUUUUCUGCAUCAACUUGAAGGCCUUCUGCUCCGACAAUAUAUCCCAAGAAGCGAAGUCGAUCAGUCAUGAAGCUACACUUCUUCAAAUUAAUGUACAAUUGGUUCGUCUGCAAGGCUGAUAAGACGUCCCUUAGAUGCUCCAUAUGUUGUUGGUCAUCGGGACUAUAUAUGAGAAUGUCAUCAAAGUAGACCACCACAAAUUUGCCAAUAAAAGGUUUAAGAACUUGAGUCAUCAAACGCAUGAAGGUGCUAGGCGCGUUCGUGAGGCCAAACGGCAUGACAAGCCAUUCAUACAAACCUUCACUUGUUUUAAAGGCCGUUUUCCAUUCAUCGCCAGGGCGGAUGCGUACUUGGUGGUAUCCGCUACGUAGAUCAAUCUUUGUAAAGACCUUUGAUCCCGCAAGCCGGUCGAGCAUGUCAUCCAAGCGAGGGAUUGGGAAUCGGUACUUGACAGUAAUCCGAUUAAUUGCCCGGCUAUCAACGCACAUACGCAUGCUUCCAUCUUUCUUCGGAGUGAGGAGUGCGGGUACUGCACAAGGGCUCAUGCUUUCGCGCAAGAAGCCUUUUCGAAGCAGCUCUCCCACUCGGUCUUGCAAAAUCUGGUUCUCCUUCGGAUUCAUCCGGUAGUGCGGCAAAUUAGGGAGGCUCGCUCCUGGAAGAAAGUCAAUCUCAUGUUGGAUAUCACUCAAGGGUGGUAAUCCAACAGGUAGAUCCUCCGGAAUAACAUCGCUGAAUGCCCUCAAUAAGGGCUGAAGAGCCACUGGAAUUGGAAUAAUGGCUUCUUGAUUACCUUUCUCCACAAUCAUAUACAUGCCCUCACGUUUACGAACGUUUAGCAUAAUUCCUGCACUUUGCUUCUUUGGGGCCUGGGGAGUGUUACUCAUCGGCUUCAAAAUAAUUUUCGUCUUUUUCCACACAAAAGAAUAUGUGUUCUCACGAGCUCUAUGAGUGAUAUCAACAUCGUAUUGCCAUGGUCGCCCCAAUAGGACAUGCCAUGCAUCCAUCUCCACUACAUCACAAAUUAUGGUGUCCUUAUAGGACUUUCCAAUUGAAAUAGGUAAAUGACAUACCUGCGUCACCUUGAGUUCGGCCCCUUUACGAAUCCACCCGAUUGUAUAAGGGGAGGGAUGUAACUCUGUCUUUAGUUGUAGAUGGUCCACCAAAACCUUGGACACUAUGUUCUCACAACUUCCGCUAUCGAUGAUGACAUCGCAAACUUUGCCGUUGACGGUACAACGGGCACGAAAAAGACUAUUCCGCUGCGUGUCUUCUCUUCGCGGAGCGAGCAAUAGUCUCCUAACAACGCAAUUGACAUGCUCGCCCUCCUCAUCCUCCACUUCUUCCUCAUCAAUCCAGUCAUCUUCGUAAAUGUCAUCGUCGUGCACGACAACAUUGGCCAUCUUCCGCCGUGGACAAUCACUCGAACGAUGUCCUACUUCGUUACACUUGUAGCAUUUGAUUGGUGGUGGCUUAGCGUAUGGGUUCUGGGCACUCUGAUUGGCGUUACGGUUGUUUGCGAUGACUGGUUCCUUGCGCACCCCAGUACUACUUCCCGGAGUUUGGUUCAUAGUGUUGGUUUGCUGGUUGGAGGAUUCUGAAACAUCUAGUUGUCUCCCCUUUCCAGAUAAUCCUCGAGCGGAAUAAUUGUUAGCCCGAUUAAUGGGGCUAGUUCUCUCUAAUUGCAUCUCAACCUUUCGGGCCAUCUCUUGAGCAUCCUCAACAGAGAACAAGCGAUGUAGCGAAACACGAUCUUGAAUAUUAAGUCGCAAACCAUUAAUGUACCUCGCAGUCUGUUGUGCCUCCGACUCAGCCAGGUUGUUACGGGCGGAAAGUCGGAGAAACUCCUCCGUGUAAGCUUGGACUGAUCGGCUUAGCUGCUUACAAUUUUGAAAUUGUUGAAAUAAUAAUUGCUCAUAAUCGGUUGGGAGGAACCGAACCUUCAACAUUUCCUUCAUCCGAUUCCAUGUUCGGAUGGGAGCUUUUCCUUGUCGACGUCGGGUCAGUUGCGUUUGCUCCCACCACGCUGAGGCACCGCCCUUCAAUUUGUAUGCCACCAAUUUUACUUGGCGAUCCUCUUCAAUCUCCAUGGCAUCAAAGAAUUUCUCGACUUCCCAAAGCCAAUCCAAAAAGUCUUCAAUAUUCAAAUUGCCAUUAAUGGUCGGAAGGUCAACCUUAAGUUGAUAUUGCUCGGGGUCUUGUCGAUAUCCCCGGUUCCGAUGGCCUCCACGAACAGGCCGAUCCAAGAACUCUUCUUCUCCUUCAGAGUCCUCGACAUAGGCUUGUCGCCUCUGUCAGGGAUUUGCCCCACGUUCCAUAGCUACUUCCGGGUCGCGAGCUGCCUGAUCAUGUUCAGCCAGAAGAACACCAGGUAUGGGGUUGGUAGACAAACGCUGGAUGGCGACAAGUAAUUCUUGAAACCUCCGUUCGGUUUGCUCCGCAAAUUGGUUGAACUCAUCCCGUGUAAUAGGCUCGUUUCUGCGGCCUUCAGCUACGGAGAGAUUGACAUUAACGUUAUUAGCCAUCGUCACAGGAGAAACCUGCUCUGAUACCAAAUGACGCAGAGAAAGCGAUGCUUUGGAAAGAAUUCCAAAAGAUGGUGUUUUAUUUUGAAUAAUGAAGUGCCGAUUACAAUAUCUUUGGCGCCUAUUUAUAAGAAGGUCGCCAUCUAGAAAAUAACAAAAUAACUUAAAUCUAGUAACAAAUUUGAAAAGAUAUUGAUAAACUAGAAAAUCUAAAAUCUAAUAACAAAUUAAAGAAACGAUAUUGAUAAACCAGAAUAUUUCAGAUAAACCAGAAUAUCUGAAAUCUAAUAAUAAAUAAAGGGAAACGCGUGAAUCAAAUAUUGUAAUCCCUUUUGCAAUCUUGAAGAUCACAUAAUCCUCUUUGAUUUGUGGGACCGCCCGCUCUUAUGACGCUCCAUUGUUUCCAGAAAGGCAUUUGCAUAUUGUUCUACAUCAAACACGUAGGAGCUCGGGUACUCCACGACGUCGGCAGGGGUCGCCGCCAUGGUCUUUGCAUCGCGGGGCGCGAGGGGUUGCUCCUCGAUUUCUCGGGCUCCUCGGGGAAGUCGAGCAUGUCUUCGAGGAUCCCAAAGAGGCGCGAAUCGAAGCCGAGAUUACGCAGAUCCAUAGGGCUGUUCGCUUUUCCUCGUCUUGGAGAGGGAGUGUGCUUGAUUGUGGGAUGCAGAGGCUGGAGCUCUAGUUAACUGGGGUUUUAUAGAGCAGUUUGAAGGAGGGGAUUGCCAUGAGAGAGGUCUUGAGAGAGCUCUGGAGAAGAGUAGAGGGAAUUUUGCUCAUGAUGGGUUUUGAGACGCUUCGGCAAUCUUCUGUAAUUUACCGUAGAGAUUACUAAAUAGGGACAUUCACCUUUUUAAUGACACGUGGUCCAUUUGAUUAAAUCUGUAUUAAUCAAUCUCAUCUUCCUAUCAUAGCGCACACUCGAACGUCGAGUAAAUGCAAGAUUUGCCAUCAUUUUAGUAAAUCCUUCGCCAGGUAAGAUUUCUUUGAUGAAAAAUUGUUAAGAAGUACUUGAAAUUUAGAUUUUAAAUGUCUAUUAAGAUAGUUCCAAGUUUUUUUUUUCCUUUAAGAUAAGUUAUCAAUCAAAUAAAGUGUAAAAAAAAAGUCAUAAACUUAUUAUAUUUAUGCAAUUUAGUUAUAAACCUUUUGAUUUGGUACCAUUUUAGUCAUUCUGAGAAAUUUUGGCUAGAUACUGCGAACAUGGAUGUCAGUUGGCUCACAUGGCCCCACUGGUACUAACAGAGAUAGCUUUUAAUAAUUUUUAAAUAAUUUUUUGAUUUUUCUCUUUUUUUCUAUCUUUUUUUCUUUCCUUUCUUCUUCAUUUUGCUGGUGACUGGCCAUCGGCCACACGCAAUAUUUGGGCCAAUUGGCCUUGGCUAGAGCCUCAGCAAGGGCUUCCUUGGCAUAGGCCAGGGUCGGCCUCACCUAGGCCAAAUUUGGUGAGGCGCGCCUGCCUAGCCAUCACCUGUGGUUAGUCGCCAGCAAAAGGAAGAAAAAAGAAGAGAUAAAAACGAAAAAAAAGAAAAAAAAUCAGACAAAAUAAUAAAUUUUUUAAAAAAAUAUUAGAAUAAUAUUCCACAUUAGCAUCGGUGGUGCCACGUUAGCCGGCCAGCGUUCAUGUCAAUAAUGUCCAACUAAAAUUUAUUGGAAAGAUUGAAUUAAUAUUAGAUCAAAAGAUUUAUGACCAAAUUGACACUGAUGCAAUAGAUUUAUAACUAACUUGACAUUAAUACAAUGAUUUAUAACUUUUCUGACACUUUUCUCCUAUCAAUCAUAGAGUAUCCACAAUUCAAUUAUUACUUAUUUUAAUAAAUAGAACGUGGAAGAACCUUGCUAGUCGAAAUUUGAGAUUGACAAUUGCUUCCCAACAAUGGCUAGAUAUGGAAAAGAAGAAAGAAAACUACCAUUACCAUACAUGUUAGCGUAAUUUCUAAACAAUGAAUUUGUUCAUCAUAGUUGAAAAGCCAAUUUCGAAAACUUAAACUAAUAGAUGGACAGAAAAGAAAAUGUAAAGUACACACGAAAUAAACUAGAGCAUAAUUUGGCUCUAAUAAUUCGAUAAAAGAUUCAACUUAAAAGCUUGAAUUGAUAUAGAGGGAGAUGACAUAUAUAUAGAUAAACCUUACCAUCAAGCAAUAUGAAAUAUUUCAACAGUCAUAGUUUAAAAAAGUUUGAGGUUGAAAGUUAACUAAUAAUUUGCUUCAUAUGUCUCGUAAUUAUAAGAAUCAUACAAGCUCCCAUCUGUAGGGGCGAAUGUAUAAUACAAGCUUCAAAACAAAGGAGGCAUGACGGGAUCAUAUCAUUAGCCACGAGUCUAGGGUCUGCUACGAGAGAAAAAAAAGGGAAUCGCAUCCCCCGUGCAAAAUUGACUGGUUACCAACAAAAAGGUAAUUUAUGAACUGUAAGAUCACUUUUGCAUUUACUAAUACGUAAGAACGUAGAGGUAAAUUAAUGACGCCGAAAUUAAUUUUAUGAACGCAAAAGGAAAUAUGGAUUUGCAUUGUACACAGUUGCGGAAAUCCAUAAAAAAUAAUUUUCGGACCCUCCUUUAAUUGAUUGGGCUUGUUCAUGCAGUCAAACUCGACAUUCUCAACAAUUAGCAACUAUGUUGGUUGAAAGACUAAGCGUAAAUGCACUUAUGACACCAUGCUCAUUUCAAGCAUCUUCCUAACACAGUCCACCUAAGUUAAACAAUCUUGGCUAAAGAAUAAGGUACUGCGCAUGCUCAAAUAAGAAUAUAAGAAGAGAUUUAGAAGCUCACAUGCCGUGUUUAGGAAAUUGGGGAUGCAUCAGGGACCAUUUGGCGGGGAUAUCGGAUUCAUUCGGCCUACGUAGGUCAAGUUCAUGCUUUCAUAUAUGUCCAUAUUAGUAAGAGAAGGACAAAAAUGGCGUUCAAAAUAUCUGUGAUUGUUUGGUCUUUGAUUUUCGCCAAUCAUGUCUAAGAUUGCGUGUAAAAAGUCCGGUCGUGGUUUGAGGGAAGAACAUCGUCGCACGGGCUACGAUUCCUCUGCCUUAGGAAGGCGCCUGGAUUCGCCGCCCGAGCCCUUUCUGAGAAUUAACUAUGGUCAAAGCGAGCUUAUGACCUUGUCCAUGUCUGCUCAGAGGCAGCUCGACUCGCGAGAGCUUCGACCUAGAGCCAUUCUCCCCCUCUUUUGCUCCAACACCGGCUCCAACUCCUUCCCUCCCUUUAGCGAGUGGAUCGGUCGCCCAUAACACUUGUACCUGCGUCAAAUUCAUCAUCUUGAAUGAUUGGUUCACAAACCGGGACUUGGCGGGACUUGUCGACGACUGAGCAGUUCGGGGACAUGCCCAUCAUGACCAGUGCCGAAGGAGGCGAAGGCUUGGUGGUGGGCAGGUCGUCAGAGGCGGAACGAUCGGGGUGAAGGAGGGGGCAGCGGCACUUGGAGAUGAAGACUCAUUGUCUCGUCUGGAUGGCCUGAGUCUCGUGGGUGCGUGGGUAUUGAAAUAAUGGGUUGGACUAUAGUUUUUCUCAGUCCAUUUUAGCCCAUUUUAGAAGGAAAAAAACGAGUUACUCGUACAAAAUUGGACUCAUUAAAUUUGAGUAAUAAAAAUGAUGGGAUCAUAUCAGUAGUCACAAGUCUAGAGUCUGCUGUGAGAAAAACGCGCCAAAUCGACUGGUUACCAACACAAAGAUAAUUUAUGAACUGUAAGAUACUUUUGCAUUUACUAAUACUUAUGAACGUGAAGGUAAUUUAAUAACGUAGAAACUAAUUUCAUGAACGCAAAACUAUGACUUACAAACAUCAUUUUGCAGUCAUGAUACAAUAAAGAUGUUACUUCAAUUAGACCGCGCUAGUAAUUUAUUAACAAUAAGUAUAAUUAAGAUCAUCCAAAAUUAGCACUCACCCUAUUUACUAAUCACAAGGGAAAUGACAACCUUAGAGGUGCAUUACAUCUUAAAGGGUAAAUUACUACUUUUAAUUACUUACUAUAAGGCAUAUGAUUGUCUUAAGAGACGCUGCUACUUUGAAGAGUACUUACACUUAGUGAUUUCCUUAUAACAUAGCAAAUUAUCUCAAACCAUCGCAAGUGAUAAAACACUGGCUAAUUGACCUAAAGCUGUGGUAAAUUGGCUAAACUCCUCACAAUAAUAUUGCACUUAUUGUUCGAACCGUUUUAUUAAAACUAAUGACAUUUCUUUACACUUCGUAAGUUGGGGAUGUUGUCGCCAGUAAUUAUCCAUUGAUGAUUUUAAUUUUCUUAAUUAGUCGCAAUUGGUAGUUCAUUAUGGUUAGUAUGGGCCUGCAUGGUUGCACCCUAUUUCUGUUCCCAGGAACAGAAAUUUCUGUUCCCAGGAACAGAAAUUUCUGUUUUUUUGUUCCUGGGAACAAAAAAGGAACAGAAACACGUUUGUGUGCGUUUUUGUUCCUUUUUUGUUCUUUUGUUCCCAGGAACAAAAAAGAAACAGAAACAAGAAACACAAAAAACUUGUUUCUUGUUUCUGAAACACAAAUCAGAAACAAAAAAGGAACAAAAUUGUGUUCCUUUCUUAUUUCUUGGAUAGUGCUCGAACAGGGCCUCCUCUCCCCCCCGCGACGAGCUUCCUCCUGCGACCUGCGACAAGCGACGAGCGACGGGCGAAGAGCUUCUCCUCCGGCGACCUGCGACGAGCGACGAGCUUCUCCUCCUCCGACCUGCGACGAGCGACGAGCUUCUCCUCCUCCGACCUGCGACGAGCGUCUCCUGCGACGAGCGUCUCCUGCGACGAGCGUCUCCUCCUGCGACGAGCGCCUCCUCCUGCGAGCAGAGAAUUCCAUCGUCUUCUCCGGCGCCUGUCUCGACAGCCGCUGCUCCUUCACCAGGUAAACGUGGUCACUGCUCCUCCUUCACCGAUUGCCUUCACUUCGGCGAGAGCCACCCCUCGCAGAUCUGGGCAAUGGCUAGUCGGAGCUCGAGUGUUAGGGCUCGCUCGAGCCAGCGCUCGCCCAGAUCUGCAGCAGUGUUGCCCGCCAGAUGCGAUGGAUGCUCGUCUGCUCGCUCGAGAUUUGUACCAGUAGGCUUGCCCAGCGAGCGUCUGCUCGCUUGCUGCUGCUUACGCUCAACUCUGCUCGAGCCAGCAGAAUUGGGAUCGGGCAGAAAAUUGAGGUUUUUUUUUUGGAGAAUUAGCCCUAAUCAUUAAUCUGGAUAUUCGCGAGAGGGGGGAAAAUAAUUUAAUUAAAUUAUGGUUAGGGUCGUUGAUAAAAAGGGAAUCCGACAAAAGCAAAGAGGCUCCAUUGCGAGACUCGUUUGUUUAUGACCCGGCCGCAUUCUUUUGUUAGCAGAAUCUAAUUUUUGUUCCCGUCUCUCUCCAUGUCCAAAGUUUCGUCAGGCCUUCUUUGGCCGGCAACUGAAUCCAACUCGAUAAAGCUGAUCCCAGCUUUAACCUUCAAUUUGUUCCACUAAUUACCUGUGAGUUUGGAAGAAAAUCUAAAAACCUAAUUUGUUUAUUAUUCUGAAAAAGCAAAACCCAACUUUUAUAAACGCCAAACAUAUAAAGCCAUGAAUUUUAUUAUCACUUUCUCGCCAAAUUAUCUUCAUCUCCAUUGUUCCAAGGUUUUGCGUUUGUGUCUUUCCUCUACUUGCCCUAUUGUCUAUUAUGCUAACUAAUGUUGCUAAUGUUUUUGCCUCCUGUUGCUCACAGAUUGAGACGUCUGAGGAACUUGAAAAGGUCUCUACUGCUGAUGAACGCCAAUCUUUCAUUGCAAAGCUUGAUGAGGUUAUCCUCUCCCUCCCUCCCUCCCUCCCUCCCUCUCAUCCCCAAUAGCUUAGACAAAUACAACGUAAUCUGGUAUUUAAUUAGUUAUUUGGCUAUUGUUUUAGGUGCAAGAAUGGCUUUACAUGGAUGGUGAAGAUGUUACGGCGGCAGAGUUUCAAGAGCGUCUGAAUUUGCUAAAAGCAAUUGGUGAUCCAAUUUUUUUCAGGUUUGUUUUAUCCUCGGAGGAAAUGAUGGCUUUUGACCAAGGGAAUAUCUGGAACAGUUCUCUUUCAGUUGUCAUUUUCUUAUUUAGCUUGCAAUAUACGCUUUAACCAUGAGAUUUUGGUCCUUUUAGAUUGAAAGAACUUACAGAACGGCCAGCGGCAGUUGGGCAUGCUCAAAGUUACCUGGAUCAACUGCAAAAGGUAUCUAUAAAAAUGGUUAUUGUGAAUUGAAAGUAGAUGGCACUCCCAUUCGAAAUAAUUUUAUUUCUAUUAUUUUCUGAUUGCCCAAUACUAAUCUUGAGAACUAUUUAUUCAAGCCUAUACUUAUCAAUGGCCAUUAUCUAACUAUGAUGAGUGACAAGAACGAGCCUGUUUGUCCCUUCAAAAAUAGAUUGGUUGUCGGCGCUAAUAUCUACUUUUACCUUCCUGCAUACACUCCUUUUUAGAUGAUCUCUCUCAUUGCUGCCUCCUUGUAAUCUGUUUUAAAGUUCUUUCAGUUUUCUAUUGUUGUCACCAGGUUCAUGGCAAUUCUUAUGUGUUGGUGCAUUUUCCUUGCGGUUUUGGAAAUGACAGAGUGAUUAUGUCCAUUUGACUUCUUGCAUGCUCAUUUUGCAUGUAAUAACGACAAACUUUUUUAGGUUUGGCAGCAUUAGUUUGGCAACACUUUUCAUUGUGUGUGGACUGUCAAUUGACAACAUCGGGCAUGACGAAAUAGCCUUUUAUUAGUCUCAGAGUUCUAUACAUUAUUGUUUCUUUAAUCUCAAUCUCUAUGACAUCUGGUAGAUCUAUGGAUUUGUGGCUGAAUAUAUCAAAGUGAUGUGAAUCAAUGUCCAAGUUAUUGUUAUUUCUUUUUCUGCCUUUGUGUUAAGCUUCUCAAUUCGCGUUUUGUCCUGUAUUGCUUGGAUUUGGUCUAAUAUUAGUAUUUUCUGUGUCUCUAUGAACCCUUGCGGCUCAGCCACAUUUUGAUCCAAUUGGAAGUCGAGGCUUGUUCUUUCUGUUAGUCCACAGGCAUGUCAGGUUUGAGUGAACUAAUGUUACUGAUUUCGGAUGCUUUUUUUUUUUGACGAUUUCUUUGAGUCUGGCGAUGAGUUCGAGUCCUGAAAAUCGUUAAUAUUAUUCCCCCAGUCCAUGCUUACCACACGUUUGACAAUGUGUCUAAUCCAGCCUAGGUGUUUGCAUUACCGAUUCUCGAUUGUUCUUGAACACGUAUAGGCAGGUUUCACGUGUUAUAAACCUCUUGUUGUUUGUUGGUCUUCAUUUGCAUCAUUAGACAAAAUCUAGGCAUUCCCCUUUUUCUUUUCUUUUUGUUUCAUUUUGUGGUAGGAAUGUUGGGGAUUAUACAUUAUGCGAGAUCCUUCGUAUCUUAUGGCUAUAAUGCUUCAAUUUUUUCUCUUUAAGUUAUGGAGAAUUUUUCUUUACUUAAAGUACAUCCUCACUCUAUCUCAAUUGGUUGUCUCCUUCUCAGGUGAACAAUACUGGCGUUGGUGGAUCCAUUAUCGACGCUGAUGCUUUGAGAACUUCGGUGGAUCCAUGCAAAGUUUCGCCUUGCCGGUGCCAAUCCACGAAGACAUAUUCUUUUGUAAUUUUGUUUUUAAGUAUUCACUUAUCAAAUCCAAUGUGAUGAAGUUGAACAAUGAACUAUAUUACUUCAUUAUUGUGAUGUUAUGUAUGAAAGGGUCUAUGUAGAGAUCUAAUGAGGUAUUCUUCUUUUAGGUAGCUUUUAUUGUACAAAUUUUACUUACGAAAUUUUGUUCCAAGUAUGCACAUGACCAUGUUCAGAAUGUUUGUCUUCACCGAAGCAUUUCAUUAGAGUGAUAAUGCAAUAUCAAGUUUACACUUCAUUGAAAAAAAGGUACGUGAGAAGAAUUUGGUACAAAUUUUAUUUAUAAAAUUUUCUUCAAAAGUAUGCACUUAUAACCAUGUUCAGAAUGUUUGACUUUACUCACCAUGAACAAAAUUAAAUUGAUGAGCAUUUUAUGAUAAUGAGAAUUCAAAACCAAGUUUACACUUUAUUAAAAAAAAAACAAAUGGGAAAAUUUUGGGACAAACUUAAAAGAUUUUCUUCCAAGUAAGCAAAUAUGAUCAAGUUUAGAAUAUUUGUUUUCACUUAAUAUGAACAAAAUUAAAUUGAUGAGCAUUUCAUGAGAAUGAUAAUUCAAUACUAAAUUUACACUUUAUUAAAAAAAACAAUUAAAAAAAUUGGAACAGAAAUUUCGUACAUUACCAAACGUGUUUCUGUUCUUUUUUUAUUCCAGAAACAGAAAUUUUUUGCAGUUACCAAACGUGUUUCUGUUCCUUUUUUAUUUUAGAAACAGAAAUUUUAUACAGUUACCAAACGCGUUUUUUUGUUCAGAAAUUGUUCCCUGGAACAGAAACACUUUUUUCUAUUUCUGUUUCCUGGAACAAUUUUUAAACAGAAACGUUACCAAACGCACCAUAUUUUUCCAUCUUUAGUUGGCAUUAUUACCACUGGCAUACUUUUUUUUCUUCCCCAACUGGAAAGUCCCCCGUUCAUACCUGAUCUAGUUAAGGGAAAAACAAAUACCUUAGCAUGUGUUCUCUUCUUACUUGUAACCAUCUGUAAUCUGACGACAACCGCAACUCACUUCUUACAUUAAGCACAUCAUAUAAAGAAAAAAGAAAGAGAAGAGAAUUCCAUGUAUUAAUAGUAACUACUGUUGAUACUCCAUUCCAUCAUCCAUGUAAACUCCAUUCUUUUACAUGCAUCAUCCAUCAACGUCUAAGACACUUAUUGUUUGAACCAGCACAUAGACACAUGCAUUCUCAAACGUAUCGUACAUAAUUGGCUAAUGGGCACACUGAAUAGCACAUACUAUAUAGCAUCUACUCUUGCAUGGACUCACGGCUCAAUGCAUAUCUUCUAGGACAAACGCACCUUAGCAGUAGACGGCCACUAAACCAUAGGAUCCUCCCUCUUCCCUUUCUUGAAGGCAUUGUAGACAAAUUUCAGGACUUUGUAGACUAACUUCAGGACUUUGAGUACCAAUUUCCAGAUUAAGCGGAUUAUAUGGCACAGGAAAAUAAGAGACAUCAAUCCUGUCCAUGCUUGCACCGCAGUUACAACUACUGGAUCCUUAAUCGGAUUAAGUGGAUCAUACAUUUUGUCCUCCUCCGGUGAGGCAAGUACCAUGAGGAUCGAAUAGCUCAACGCUGUGCAGGUUAUCGCAACCCACAUAGUUAACAUUACAAUCCAAGUGGUGAUCCGACGCCGCUUUAAGGGAAGACCACUUAUGAGAAGCAUAAUGGUGCUAAGCGAUGCGAUGAAGCUUAUCGUGUUAAAUGCUUUGAACGACUUGUAACAGUUCUUGAAGCCCUUCAUUUUCUUUGCAGAUUCGUUAGGUGGGUCCUUACCCGCUUCGUAAGCCAUGGUAGCGACCAAUAUCGCUACCACCAUUAGCGCCUCAUGCAUACCCUUUUGCCACUUUCUUUUCCUUUCCCUCUUGAUCUCUUUUUCCGUAAGUGUAUGGAAGUUGGUGACCGUGUUAUUCGGAACGACUGUUCGUUUGGAUGGGUCGUGAUUCUCUGAAGUUUGAGGAACAUAAUUCACUAUCUCGAAGGCUCUUUCCAUGCUUUGGCCUUGUGCCAGUAGGCCUAGUGCUGUGAACCCUUUGGAGUUCGUAAUGUUUGGGUCUACUCCUUUAUUAGUGAGGAAGAUUAUAGUCUGCAGAGAAAUAACAACAAAGUGUACCAAUUGAUGUUAAGUUUGAACUAGACAAGCCCAUGUUAUAUACUUUUGAGAACUAAGUUUGCUUCUAGUGUUUUUAAGUCCUCAAAUGUUUGUGACUAUUAUGUGAUGCCUUCAAAAGGGAAUCUCAUUUCUUGUUGAAUUUCUUCUGCUCCUCUGUUUAUAUCUUCCUUCUAAUCUAGAUGAAAUUAGUGUGAAAAUAAUGUGAAGCGUAAAGUCGUAGUUAAUUAUAUGGAUGAAUGACUUCUUUCCCAAAUACCAAGCCUGUGAUGAUUUAGGGAAAAGUGCUAAAAAGUCUUAAAUCUAUGGCACUGGUGCAAAUUAAAUCAUAAACUUUUUAAUUGUGCCAAUUUAAUCCUAAACCUUACGACCUAAUGUUAAUUCAGUCCUUUCGGCUAAUUUUAACUAGAUAUUGCUAACUUGGACCCCAUUUGGUUUAUGUGACACAAUUGACACUGAUGUGGAUAAUUUUUAAUAAUUUUUAAUUUUUUUCCUUUUUACUUUCUUUUUUUGGUGACCAGUCAUUGACCACUGGCCAUGGCCAAGUGGGCUAGACUUGCUUGGGUGAGGGGUCUUCGUCGCCCACCAAAAGCGAGGUUGAUCCCCAUUAAGGGCUCCCCUCCUUAGGCUAGGUCGGCCUUGCUAGACCUAGCCCGGGCAAGCCUAGCCUUGGCCCAUGCUAAGGAAGCCUUCGCCUUGUUGAGGUCACCCUCACUCGACUAGGCCUUGCCUUUGGUGGGCAACAACAACCCUCAUCCAGGCGAGACCAGCUUGUCUAACCAUGGGCAGUGGUCAGUAAAAGGAAGAAAGUGAAAAAGGAAAGAAAAAAUAAAAAUAAAAAAUGAAAAAAUAUAUUAUUAAAAAUUAUCCAUAUCAGCAUCGCCGUGCAAUAUAGGAUAGUCGACAUUAAUAUCAGUAAUAUUUGGCCAAAAUUAGCCUGAUGGAUUGAAUUGAUACUAAAUCAAAAGGUUUAAGACUAAAUUGACAUAAUUAAAAGGUUUAUAAUUUUUUUAACACUUUUCCUUGUUGAUUAAUAAAUGGAUUUCUUUUAACUUGCGAUUAUUUCUAGAACAUUCAUUUUUCCUAAAACGGCCUUUUUUGUUGAUAAGCUCAAUGAAUUUGACUAAUGUAGAGGCUUAGUUGUAUGAACAUACCUCAGUUUGUCCAUCUGUAGCAGCCAAAUGUAAAAUUGUGUUGCCAUCUUCGUCCUUCAAGUUGAUGAACUGAUCAUUGCCCAACAUACCUAUCAAAAGCUUCAAAGCUUCCAGUUUGUUGUGCUUCACCCAUAAAUGGAGAAUCGUUUGGCCAUGUUCGACGACACUGUGAGCUGCAUCAUGCCUUGCUCGAACCAAGCAUUCCAACACAUCCACACGCCCUUUCAUUGCUGCGACAUGAAGAGGGUUUCUUUUGUAUUUGUCACGGACUAAACAUAUUUCGGGGUCGACUCUUACCAAGCUUUUCACUAUGUGAAGGUACCCAUUUGCUGCUGCGAGAUGAAGAGGCGUUGAACUCUGAGAAUCUUGCUCUCUUGCCAGCUCAGUCUUUCGAGCUAGGAUCUCUUCCACGAAAUCCAAGUGUCCGAGCAUGGCUGCGAUGUGCAAAGGAGUCUCAUUGCGAUUCCCAGUCAUGAUUCUAUCAAGAAGCAACUUAUCUCUUUCGAGUAACUCAAGCAAAGAAUGCACAUUUCCUUUCAUGGCGGCUUCAUAGAGCUCGGACUCCAUGUUUGGCUCUCUAAAAUGGGAGUUUCGGGAUACUCACUACUCCAGUUGGGACUUGAAUAUAUAUUGUCAAGGUAGGCUUGACGAGGACCAAAAAAUGAUUGGUGGAUUAUUUGACAUCUCUUAUCCGCAAGUACGUGGCUCAAGUUUCCGUUGGCCGAACGUUGUUGCGCCUCGGAUGUUUCUGUACACGCUAGGAGAGACGUUAGCUCACGGCUCUAUAGACCUAAUCAAACUCCGCCACGCCAACCGUUCGUACACAUUUGGAGUCUACUUACAACUGGUUCUUGGGGGUAGUAAGAAGGAACUCCAAAGUUAACCAUUAGGAUGGAUGGGUGACCUUUUGAAAAUGUAAAUGCCCAUACAUUAAAGGACAAAACUGUGAGAUUCACUAUGGUACAGGCCAAAAAAAAAAAAAAAACUUCAAAUGAGUUAAUUCAAGAAUGUUAUAAUAUAGGAUCGGGGUGGAACUUUCUCCACUAGGUGUAUGGUCCAGAGAUGAACCACACGGAAGUUGGUGGGCCCAUAAUGACUCAGUUUGAUGAGGGUGGGGAAUAGUCAUCAGAACAGAGGGCUUAGAUAAUGAGCGGCUUUUGGUAGGUUUUUAGGAUGGCAAAGGAGGCGAAAAUGAACCGGAAUAUGCAUUGAACAAAGGAAAGCAAUUUUGGGAAGUAUGUGCGCGUGUGUGAAAUUUGGAGUGGGGCGAGUCAAAACAGACAAUAACUUAGAGUGAUUUAAUUUAAGGAUGUCUCACUACCUACUCAAACUUGGCAUCGUAGAUAGUUUAUAGACACUUGGAAUCUACUUGCAACUCUUUCUAAAAGGAAUCAGGAAGAAAUCCGCAAUCUCUUCUUCAAAUGUGUGUUUUGGCAAAUCGAAAUUUAAUUUGUUUGGAAGUCCCUGCCGUAGAUUGCGCCAAGAAAGCUCCCAUUCUCCUUUUGAUUGUCGCUUCUCUCUUAACGCUUCAUUGUGACAAUGUUCUUCCCCUAAACCAUGACCAGACAUUUUUCUCAACUGCUACAAUGAAAUUAUAGCCUUCCCCAUAGAAAUCUGAGAAAUGCAACUCCCUCAUUUAAAAAAGUUUUAGACAUGAUGGAAAUACAAGAAAAGCAACUUUCUCUUUAGAAAAGUUUCUUAAAAAAGUUUUAGACAAGAUGGAAAUCUGAGAAAAGCGAUUCUCUUUUAGAAACGUUUUUGGCGUGAAGUGGGCAACCCUGAGUUACUCAUUACAGUUACAUGAUAUUGCCAAGAAUCAAUCAUCUGCAUUUGGCAUCACCCUUGGCUGGUUCAUCCAAAGGUCCUAGGGAUGUGAGGUAAGGGAAAGAUUCUUCAAGUUCGUGUGAGGAUACAAUCUAUAUAUAAACAGAGGCCAUUCCUUCAUAUGUUCGGUGGAUUAAUUCACAGCUACGGCUUUUGCCCAUGUAUGUCUUUUUGCAUGUUUGCGCACGUGUGUUAAAACUUUAGAUUGGCCGAUUUGAGCCGCAAGAAUGUUGAGCAUAAGAAUCUCCUAUAUCAGAAUCGAAGAUUUUUGAAGAAUUAUGUGCUGAUAUUGCUCUUAAUGGAUAAACAUAGUGUCAUAGUCCCCGAGGCAUUCUCACAAUGUUAGACAUGAUUGGCUAAGAUUGAUUAUCAUGAUUUUCUACGGUACUUUCGCCAAGCGAUCAAAGAUAUAUCAACAUCAUUCCUUUCCUUUUUCUUUCACAUAUGGACAUGUAUGAAUGCGUGACGUCAACCUACAUAGACCAAAUGCAAGUAGCGUCGCCACCAAAUGGUCCAUGGAUGUAUCCUCCAAUUCCCUAAACAUUGCAUGUCAACUGCAAAAGCUUCUGCUAUAGUCUUUUUUGGGCCUGCACAUUCCUAAUUCUUCAGGAGGAUUAUUCAACUUUAUGGAUUGUGUUAGGAAAAUGCUUAGAGUGCAUUUACGAUUAGUCUUCUAACCAAAAUAGCCGCAAAGUUUUGAGCAUAUGAAUCUACUAUAUCAUAAUUGAAGUUUUUUGAAGAAUUAUGUAUUGAUAUUGAUACUAGACUCUUAAUAGAUAGAUGUAGUGUCAUAGUCACCGAGGCCUUUACCAAUGUUAGACAUGAUUAGCUAAGAUCAAUGGCCAUAAUUGUCUAUGGUACUUUUGCUGAGCAAUUAGAGAUAUAUCAACAUCAUUCCUCUCCUUUUCUUUCGAAUAUGGACAUGUGUGAACACGUGACCUUAACCUACAUAGACCAAAUGCAAAUAGUGUCACCAUAAAAUGGGUCCCAACUGUAUCCCUCGAUUCCCUAAAUGCAACAUGUCAACUUCAAAGACUUCUAUUAUAGUCUUAUUUGAGCCUGCGCAUUAACUGAUUCUUCAGGGGGAUUAUUCAACUUUAUGGAUUGUGUUAGGAAGAUGCUUGAGUGCAUUUACGAUUAGUCUUCCUACCAAAAUAGUCGCAAAAUUUUGAGCAUAUGAAUCUACUAUAUCAUAAUUGAAGUUUUUUGAAGAAAUACGUAUUGAUAUUAGACUCUUAAUAGAUAGGUGUAGUGUCAUAGUCCCAGAGGCCUUCACACAAUGUUAGACAUGAUUAGCUAAGAUCAAUCACCAUAAUUUUUUACAGUACUUUCACUGAGCAAUUAGAGAUAUAUCAACAUCAUGCUUUUCCUUUCUUUUCGAAUAUGGAUAGUGUGAACGCGUGACUUUGAGCUACAUAGACUAAAUGCAAACAAUGUCACCACAAAAUGGUCCCCAACUGUAUCCUCCAAUUCUCUAAAAGCAGCAUGUCAGCUUCAUAGACUUCUGUUAUAGUCUUGAGCCUGCACAGAGCCUGCACAUUACCUGAUUCUUAUGGAGGGAUUAUUCAACUUAAUGAAUUGUGUUAGGAAGAUGCUUGAAAUGAGCAAUAGUGUCAUAAGUGCAUUCCCAAUUAGUCUUCCUACCAAAAUAGGCGGAAAUGAUUUAGAGCCAGCAAAAAAAUAAAGCGUAAUGAGCGAUCAGCAGUCUUGCUAUAAAUUUGAUUGCCCAUUUCUGUUCAAAAACCAAUUAACAUUUGAAGGUAUGAUCAACAAAAAGAAAUGAUCAUAAAUUGGAGAAGGGAAAGAUAAUUUAUGAAAGCAAGAUAAUAUCGAGAUGUCGUCACUAAUAAUUAUCUAGCAUUAUCAUAAUUUUCUUCAAUUAGUCAAAAUUGGUAGUUGACUAUUUUGUAUUGUUCCAGUAUUAGCAAUAACUUCCUUUCAUAUUUCAUAACUCGACGAUGGAAUUACUAAAUAAUCAUUCUAGGGGUAAUUUUCCUCAACUAGUCGUAACUUGUAGUUCCUGUCUUUAAUAAUUAUCCCUCCAGCACCUGUAAUUUGCCCGAAAUCAUCACGAUCUCAAUCCCAUGUCCAAUUAGUACUUUCCCUUUUGUGUGGUAAUUGAGCUAAUACAGUUUGAAACAAAAAUUUCUCAUCACAUGGCAAUAAACUAUUGGGAUAAUAAUAUACUUGAAAUUGUCAUAAGAGGCACAACUUAUAAUCAAUUAUUGACAUUGAUAAUCGUAAAUCAGUCGCAAGUCCGUGUAGAUGGUAUUGAGUUCUCUACUUUUAAAGAUAGUAAAUUACCUCAAGUUAUCAUAAGCGCAAAAAGAUCAUAAUGAUCAUAAUUUUUAUUGAGAAAUCUAAGCAACCUAAAGUUUACUUUCUAUUUUCCUAUUCUUAGUAAAUCUACAUAGAUAAUCCUUCAAAUUCGUAAUCAAUGGAUCCUGUCCACAAGUAAUAAUCCUUUUGACCAUCGUGAUUUUCCGUAAUUUAUCGUAAAAUUUUCAAUUCCACUGGAACAAACUUCCUUAUUACCAAGGUGUUUAGGUUACACUAAAUAAAAUUGAUCCCAUGGCUGAAAUUUUUGGACUUUAAAUCCAAUGUCAUUCUUUUUUUAAACUGCCACAAAUCAAAUCAAAUAAAACAGCUAUCCAUUAUACAUCUAAACUCCAAUAUUUUCCAUAAAUUCAACACAAUUAAAAUAUUUAUUGUUUUCACAAGCAUAUACCAUACUUUAAUGCAUCGUAGCUAAGUUGUCUAAUCGGCACACUGAACAACGCAUGUACUGUAUAGCAUCUCCUCUUUUAUGGCCUUAGGUCUCAGGGUGCUUCUUCUGUAACAAACACAUUUGCAGCUAUAUACAGCCACUAAACCGUAUGAUCCUCUGGCCUGCGUUCUGUCGAGGCUUUGCGGACGAAUUCCAGAACCUUGCAUACCAAUUUCAGGAUUAAACGAAGCGACACAAAAAAAGAAGAGCCAUCAACCCAACCCAUGCUAGCACCACAAGUCCAAUUGCACCAAUGAAAGUUUUCAGUUCGCUUGCUGGUGUGAAGACAAAUACAGAGAUGGCAUAAGUUGCCGUUGCGAAGCUUAUCGCAACCCACAUAUUCAGCAUUACAAUCCUCGUGGUGAUCCAAUGCCGCUUUAGAGGAAGACCACUUAUGAAAAGCACAGGGAUACUAAGCGAUGCAAUGAAGCUGUUACAUGUUGAGAAAUUCCUGCACGCAUUCAGGAACUUAUCUGUCAUUACAGAUUCACUCGCAGUAUGUGCUGCAGUCGUUUCAUCACUCAUAAAAUCUCCUUCCCAAAGGCCACCAGGUGGGGUAAUGCCGGCUUGGAAUGUCAUGGUAGCUAGCAAUGUCACUAUCACCAUGAGCGUCUUAUGCAUAUUGCCUUCUCACUUUCUCUUUUUUUCCUCACUUUCGGUGAAUGCUGUGAAACCUCUGGAGUUCUUAAUGUUUGUUUAACUCCUUUAUUAGUCAAGAAGAGCAUGGUCUGUAGAGAAGUAACAUCAAAAUGUAUCAGUUGGGGUCAAAUUUGAUCUAGACAACCCCAUGUUACGUACUUUUCAGGAUUAACUUUGCUACUAGCGUUUUUCAGUCUUGUGACUAUUAUUUGAUGCCUUCAGAAGGGAUACUCGUCCCUUGAUGAAACUCUUUUGCUAUCUCCGAUUUUAUGUUCCUUCUGAUCUAGAUAAAAUAAGUAUCAAAAUUGUGUUAAGUGUAAAGUUGUAGUUUAUUAUAUGGACCAACGACUUCCUUCUUAUUUAAAUAUCAAAACCUAUAAUGAUUUACAAAUGGAUAUCUUUUAGUUUCCGAAUAUUUCUAGGACACUAAUGUAUCUUAGAAUCGCCUUUUAUUUAUUUAUUAAUAAGCUCACUGAAUUUGACUAGUGCAGAGGCUUGAUUGUACAAACAUACCUUAGUUUCUCUAUUUGCAGUAGCCAAAUGCAAAAUCAUGUAGUCAUAUCUGUCUUUCGAGUUGAUGAACUGAUCAUCGCCCAAGAUAACUAUCAAAAGUUUCAAAGCUUCUAGUCUAUUAUGCGUCACGCAUAAAUGCAGGAUUAUCUGGCCAUGUUCAACAACACUAUGAGCUGCAUUAGGUCUCGCUCGGACCAAGUAUUCCAACAUAUCCAUAUGGCCUUUCAUGGUUGCGAGAGGGUUUCUUUCGUAUUUGUUAUGGAUAAUACACAUAUCAAGGUUGACUCUUAACAAGCAUGCCACGAUGUUAGGGGAUCUUUUUGCUUCUCGAGAUGAAGAGGGAAUCUUGCUCUCUUGCCAGCUCGGCCUGAGUUAGGAUCUCUUCCACGAAAUCCAAGCGUCCAAGCGUGGUUGCAAUGUGUAGAGGAUGCUCGUUAUGUUUUUGGUCAUGAUUCUAUCAAGAAGUAGUUUAUCUUUUGUGAGCAACUCAAGCAGAGAAUGCACAUUCCCUUUCACAGCAGCUACGUAGAGCUCGGACUCUAUGUUUGGAUCUCUAAAAAGAGAUUUUCAGAGUACUCUUUCCUCCAUUUUGAAACUUGAAUAAAUACUAUCAUAAACAUGUCAGCUUACGCUAGGUUUGACGGAGACCGAAAAAUGAUCGGCAGAUCUUUCUCGUCAGCAAGUAUUUGGCGCAAUUCCGGCAAAUGUCCUAGAAUGUCAGAAAAGGUAAUGAUUCUUGGAGACUUAGCGUGGGUAUGUGAGGAUUCGGCUGUCGGCCAUUUUCUGCCGAGUCUCGUCUCGUCUCCAUUGGUCCUAUACAGGUCGAGUUCGCACACGUAAGUUGUCCCGUUGGAGCCAUGACGUCCUUUGAUGAUGUAAAGCAGCCACGCUCUAUUCAUGCAAAUUGUAAUGAAUUACUUUGAAAGGACAUGAAUUUCAUCGGUAUGGGAAUUAUAAUUUUUGCACUAACGCAUGCUCAAUCCUAACUAGGCACUUCAGAAAAAUUAUUCUGCCAUAUGGGUGUGUUAGGACAGAAACAAAUGAGCACUAGUAUCAUUGGCACAUUAGGAAUCGGCCUUCUCAGUAUGGUAAUUCCAAGUGAUUUCGUGCUUGCCAAUAGUUUAAGCUCAAUAUGGAGGCUAUGCCUCCAAAAUUCCGCCAAAGAGAGUUGAUUUUUCUCUUUCUUCCAAUUAAAAAAAUUCAAAGAUUGAAGGACCAUAAGUUUCUGAUUGAUUUGAUGAGUCUCAAAAGGCCUAAAUGGUGCUAGGCAGGGAAAUGAAUCACAUAGAAUGUAUACCCUUGCCACCACAAAAAUGGUUUUCUUAUUUAGAUGAAGAAGCCUAGGAUGAUUAAACGCGUGACCUUGACCUACAUAAAUCAAAUGCGAACAGUGUCACCACCAAAUGGUCCACAGGUGUAUUCCCCAAUUCCCUAAACGUGGCAUGUCAACUUUAAAAGCUUAUGCUAUAGUCUUAUUUGGACCUGCAUGUUACCUAAUUCUUCAAUAGGAUUAUUCAACUUUAUGGAUUUUGUUAGGAAGAUGCUUGAGUGCAUUUACAAUUAGUCUUCCUACCAAAAUAGUCCCAAAAUGUUGAGCAUAUGAAUCUACUAUAUCAUAAUUGAAGUUUUUUUAAGAAUUAUGUAUUGAUAUUAGGCUCUUAAUAGAUAGACGUAGUGUCAUAGUCCCCGGGGCCUUCACACAAUGUUAGACAUGAUUAGCUAAGAUAAAUGACCAUAAUUUUCUAUGGUACUUUUGCUGAGCAAUCGACAUCAUGCUUUUCCUUUCUUUUCGAAUAGGGACAUGUGUGGUGGACACGUGACCUUGACCUACAUAGACUAAAUGCAAACAGUGUCAGCACAAAUGCACACAAUGCUAGACAUGAUGAGCUAAGAUCAAUGACCAUAAUUUUCUACGGUACUUUUGCUGAGCAAUCAGAGAUAUAUCAACAUCAUACUUUUCCUUUCUUUUGGAAUAGGGACGUGUGGACACGUGACCUUGACCUACAUAGACUAAAUGCAAAUAGUUUUGGCACAAAGCACUCGAUGUUAGACAUGAUUAGCCCACAUCAAUUAUCAUAAUUUUCUGUGGUACUUUUGACGAGCAAUAAGAGAUGCAUCAACAUUAUGCUUUUCCUUUCUUUUCGAAGAGGGACAUGUGUGAAUGCAUGACCUUGAGCUCCAUAGACUAAAUGCAAACAGUGUCACCACAAAAUGGUCCCCAGCUGUAAUCCCCCGAUUCUCUCAAAGCAGCAUGUCAACUUCAAAGAUUUCUAUUGGUCUUAUUUGAGCCUGCACAUUGCCUGAUUCUUCAGGAGCGUUAUUUCACUUUAUGAAUUGUGUUAGGAAGAUGCUUGAAAUGAGCAAGUGUCAUACGUGCAUAUGUGAUUAGUCUUCCUACCAAAAUAGUCGCAAAUGAUUUAAAUCUAGCAAAAAGAUUAAGCACAAGGAGCAAUCAGCAGCAGUCUUGCUAUACAUUUGGUUCCCCAUCUCUGUUCGAAAACCAAUUGACAUUUGAAGAUAUGAUCAGCAAAAAGAAAUGAUCAUAAAUUGGAGAAGGAAAAGCCAAAAUUGUCCGAAUCAAUUUGACCUGUUGAGUUGCUUCCCAGAAAGAAAGAGCAAGAAAACCAAGUUAUGUGACUUUAUUAAGCAGGUUACGUACUCGGAUCACUUGCUCCAAUGCAUUCAGAAACAUGGCAAAGAAUUCUUGAAAUUGUUUUGAUUCUUCCUCACGUGACAUGGGUAAAAAAUUUGUCGGCACAUAAUCUCUAUAUUGACUUUCAUUUUUUUUUUUAACAGCGGAGGGGGUGAACGGUGUACAUUAGGAGGACAGAGAGCCGCCGCGCCCAUCGCGGGGAUGUAUUAGGGCGAGUUUGGUUCGGCCAUCCCAUGAUGUGGAUUUUGAUCCUAUCCAUUGUGUCAAUGGCUGCAGUGAGGACUUCUCGUAUGUCGCUGUGUUCACAGCAGUGUGUUGGCCCUUCAGAGCACGCAUUCGAAGGCAUUAGGUUUUUGCCAGGACUAGGAUACCUGGAGUGCAAAACUUGGCACAUGGGAUACUUAAAUGCUAAAAUCGAAGCCAAAUGGAUCAAUUAAAUGCUCACAGGCCCUCUCCAACUGUUAGACGGGGUUGCCUACCCCUGGCCAAGGCCAGACGACCCCAGCCGACCCUUCCCCCGCUGUCACCAACCCUUUGCCUCCUGCAAUCUCCAUCUUCGUUCCUUUUUUUUUUUUUUUUUUUUGUCAUUUUUCCUCUUAGUUGAAUUUUAAUAUAAAUAUUAAUUAAACUAAAAUAUUUAUAUCAAUUUAAUGAAAAAGAAAAGAAAAAGGAUGAGGAGGGGGAAGAGGCAAAAGGCGAGGGCUAAGCCCUUGCAGUUGCCUCCCCACCAUCGCCACCCCUUCUCAGGGACGGCGAGAAGGCAACGGCGAGGGCUCAACCCUUGCCAUUAUGCAACUUUUUAUUCUUUUUAAUAUUCGGUUUUAAAUUUAAGUUAAUUAAUAUUUAUAUUAAAAUUCAAAUCCACGUCAAAACAAUAUUGUUUGGGCCUUUUUUUGCUGAGUCAACUUCCGACGAGUCACGUAGGCAAGCAAUAAUAAUACAAAAUUACCACGUAGAAUUUUCAGCGGAGUUCGUGGGACUUGGCACUCAAGUGUCCUAUUUUAAAAAUAAAAAUAAAAGUAGCACUUAAAUGUCAUUUUCUUAACUUUUAACACUUAAGUGUCAUUGUGUCAAGUUUUAGCACUUGGCUAUUCUUUUGCCGGCUUUUACCUUCUAAUCUUGAGACCUCAAGCAGGUGCCCAGCUGCAUUGGCCUCCUCGUGUAUGCGUCCAAGCCCAGCGCAAUCGGCUGCUGAUCCUUUGGUCACGGAGAAGAUGCAGAUGAAGCCCUGCGUGGGGGAGCAAGUCAGAUCAAUUUCUGCAGGAAUAUCAGCUAAUAAAAUGUCGUCCUAUAAUUUUGAUGAUUGCCUCUUCAGUUCGUUUGAUGUCCAUUACCGAACCGUGUUUCUCCGGGUUCGGGGACUAGUUCUAUUGAAACCUCCGCAAUUCCCGGUAAAAACCAUAAUCUUAUUCCAUGAACCAUUUGGACGGUCAUUGUCUGGCUAUGUUGCUUCCCCAAACUAAUUUCUUUUCCUGUGGGGAUGUUCUUGCCCUUAUUGAAAAAAAGACGGGAAGUAAUCACUCAACAUGCCAAGAAUUAGAAGCCAUAUUCACAUGAAGGAGCUAUAAUCAUAAACAGAUCUCAAGAGCUUGGCGAAGAAUCUCAAUGGGAGAGAGAAUUUACCGAUGUCACGAUCUGUUCGGUUUGGAUGUUGACAAAGACGAGAGGAAUUCCCGAGGAAACCGAGACAGAGAACCAGGCCAUGGACUGGGUUGUAGUGACCUCGACGGUGUGUUCACUUGGCAGAGGCAUAAACAGAAUGGAGCUAACUACCGGAGACCGUUGAUCAGGCAAGUAGGUCCCGACUUGGUAUGCAAGAGCUGUCGGCUAAGAAAAAGAAAAGAAAAUAGCAAAAGGAAACUUGAACUUUGCUGAUCGGUCGGCCAAAUAUUGAUGCUGUACAUGGAUUUCUUAUUCCAUGUUGAAGUCAGCCACAUUGUUCUUUCUUUUUUGGUAUAUAUUGUGUUCUUGCUCUUUGGUAUUUAGUGAUUCAUUGAAGCGUCAUCCGAGUGCUUGAUAGUGGAUAUUCUUCAUGGGCUUUCUUCGUGAAUUCCGUCCCAUGAAGUUAGUGUUCAAGCUGUCAAAAUCUUGUGGUAAGACUUCUUAAUAUUUUUUUUUGGGUGAAAUUGAGAGAUUAUUUUGUGAGUUAUAGUGGGGUAAACACUGUGGGACUUAUUAGAUGUAAUUAGGGAUGGGAAACAUGAACAGUGUCUAAGGGUGUGAAUGAUAAUCAUCUUGGUACAAAAUCGAUUUCCGAAAGAGAAUUAGAUUUUUAUAUUUCUAUGUUUGGAUUAGUUUUUAAGCAAAAAUACGCGUUUGAUAAUAACAUAGAAUUUCUAUUCUCGAAAUAGAAAUUCGUUUGAUAAUAUCAUGGAAUUUCUAUUCCCGGAAUAGAAAUUCCUUUGAUAAUAAUACAAAAUUUCUCUCCCAAACGGUGGACGGCAAUUGAUGGACAGUAACAAGCAGCCAAUGGUGAGGGAUGGUGAUUGGCAGCGAUAGACGACAACUAGUGGAUGGCAAUCGGUGGUGGUGGCGGCAGAUGACAGCGGCAAGCAACGGCGGCAAUAGAUGGCGGGCGGCGGUCGACGGACGGUGACCAGGUGUACGGUAGAUGACAGUCGGCAGCAAUGGAUGGGCGGCCGGCUAGUAGUGAGGACAAAUGAUGAAAAGGGUUUUGAUUUCUCAUUUCUGUUCCAGAAAUAGAUAAGUGAAAAAAAAAUUAUGUUUAAUUUCUGUUCCAAAUCUAAUUCUGGAGUAAAAAAUCUAUUCAAGAAAUAGAAAAAUGAAAUAAUUUUACCAAACGGAUUUCUGUUAUAGAAACAAGUUUGAAGCAUAAAAAUAGUUCUAAAAUAAAAAUAUAAUGAUUAUCAUGUGCGCCAUAAGUGACUCGAGUAUGGUUAUAAUUUCCAUCAUGUCGCUUGACUUAUAGUUGAAUUUUUUACUGUUCUUCCUAUGGACAUAUUUCACUCAACCGAAUAAUAUAAAUCUGAUAUUUGAUUAAUUUUUUUGUUUGGCUAUUUUAUUGCUCAACCACUUAUUUCGCAACAAUUAGUAUCGGUGUAAGGUUGACUAGAUUAGAACAAAUUGAUGGCAACAAAAAAAGGAAAAGUAAACAACUGACAUAUUUGAUGGGAUUAAUUUUGGUCUCUGGAAGAUCUAGAUUGAUGAUUACUUGCAUCAGAGGAAUCUAUACUUACCCCUAUUUGGGAAGAAAUUAGAGUAGAUGAAACAAGCUAAAUGGGAAUUGUUGGAUAGACUAGUGUUAAGUGUUAUUCAGCUGAUAUUGGCUUGUAAUGUUGCGUUUGAUAAUGUGAAAGAGAAGAUCACAAUGGGAUUGAUGAAUGUUUUGUCGGAUAUGUACGAUAAGCCUUUUGCAUAAUCGGAGCUCCUGUUACAGUCUUAUUUGAGCCAGCACAUUACCUAAGUCUUCAGCAAGAUUAUUCAAUUUUUUGGAUUGUUCCUGGCAUUCGUGAAUAGUCCAGCAUGUCAUACGAAAAAUCUAGUCUUGGGAGGUAGGUAAAGCUAGUGGUUCUAGCUUAGUUUGUGGCUGUUAGGAAUUGUGGUAAAAAUAUUCUGAGGCAGUGGAUGUGUUCUAUAAAUAGAGCUUCGAAUUUGUUAUUAUUCAUUUAUUUGUGAAUUUGAAUCAGAUUAAUUUACAUUAAAAAAAUUAAUCCACUAAUUAUUAAUAUUCUUCAUUAUUUCAAUUUGACAAAUUCAACUCCAUUUCGAUAAAUCCAUAAAACUUGAAAAGAAAAAAAAAGUAAUUCACAUUUUAGACUUGCGUGUCAAACGUGUUGAAAGAAAAAAGAAAAAACUUGAGGAUAAAUUUUGUAUUAUGGAAAGUGAGAGUUAAAAGAGAAAAUAAUAAAAUACUAAGUUUUUCUUCCUUCCUAAUUUGUUAUUUUUAUUAUUGAUUUUUAUUUUUUUCACACACACACAUAUUGGCCAUUUCAUUUAUUGAAAAUUUUUAAAAUUGAUAUUGCAUGUCAAAAUCAUGUGUCGGAAACUCAUACAUUAGAAUUUUGAUUUGAGUGUUGAAAAAGUUGAUCAGGUGUCGAAUUUUCUAAUAGGUGUUGACCGAGUGUCGGAGAGUGUUAGACAUGUGUCGAAAUGUUGGACACGUGUCGAAAUGUUUGACACAAUACGAAAGUUCUUAGAGAAUGUCGAUACUUCCUAAGUUAUAUGAUUCUCCCCUGCAUUCAGAAAACAUUGCAAAGAACUCAAAGUCCCGAUUCUCCCUCUCAUGACCGAUGUAAAAAUUUCAUUGGCACAUAAUCUUUUUAUUUUGACAUUCAAUCUUUUAAUGACAGAUGUUGCGCGCAAUGUACAUUAAAAGGACGGAGAGCCGCCGCGCCCGUUGCUGGGGACGUAGUAGGGCGCGUUUGGUUGGGCCACCCCAUGAUGUGGAUUGUGAUCCUGUCCAUCAUUCCGAUGGCUGCGGUGAGGACUUCUCUCAUGUCACUCUGCUCACAGCAGCGUAUUAGCCCUUCAGAGCAAACAUUUGAAGGCAUUAAACUUUUUUCCCCUUCUAAUCUGGAGACCGCUAGCAGGUGCCCAGCUGCAUUGGCCUCUUCUUGGGUGGAUCCGAAGCCCGGCACGAUCAGCUGCUGAUCUUUUGGUCACAAAGAAGAUGCAGAUGAAGCCCUGCGCAGGAGAACAAGUCAGAUCAAUUUCUGCAACAAUAUCAACUAAUAAAAAAGUGGUUCUAUCAUUGUGAUGAUUUCCUCUUCGGUUCGUUUGAUGUCCAUUCCGAACCGGGUUUCUCCGGGUUCGGGGACUAGUUCAACUGAAAACAACCAUUGAGCGCUUGUGUUAGUGAUCGUUUCUCAACCAUGCUUUUGUUGACCACGAUUUUAAUUUACCAAUAUGAUGGUCCUUUUUAGGAUAGGUAUGAACAUAUUGCUCUGCCUCCGUUUCCUGAAAACAAGGAUAGAGGUGUCAAACUCAAGUUUCUGAUUGAACGAAAAAUCCAAUAUGUCGGUAUGUUUGGUUUCUAUGUGGAUGUCAAUCUUUCAUUUGCUUCGAACAUAGAGACAAGGAAAAUGCCUGCCCAUCACUCGUUCGACAGAAUGCUUUCAAAGAAGGCUCACUGCAUAUUCAUCCCGUUAUCAGGAGAUCUUAAAGCAUAUUGACUUAGCUUAAAUGACGUCGACCGAAUUUCGAGUUGUCGCGUAAGAGUUUCGUAUUUCCAUGUUUGCUGAAUCUGACUCUGUGUUGUUGGGUUUUUGCCCUGCAUUUUACGCGCCCCUUCGGUGUUGACCGUGGAGAUAACCGGGGAGGGAUGUCCGAGGGGGUGUUGACGCGCGCACAGAUCUUUAACUGCAGUUCCUGCAUAUCCAAUGCUACGUCUCUAUUGUCAUCAUUCAUAUAUUUCUCGAGACUGUAUAAAGGAUGUUUGAUGGAUGAUGUUGCUUGCUGUUGGUGACGCUCCGGCAAAGGUUAGGGUUAACGAUGGCAUGGCUUGGCUUAGUGAUAUAGGUCAACCUCAAAUAAGAUUAUUCGGCCGGUGACCGCAGAUGGACGAAUGGUAUGUUCAUACAUCUUGCAAAUCCUUGUGAAAGUAGAUUCCGAAGGUCCGACUGAAUUAAGUAAAUCUCUCGUCCUUUUAUUGGUCCUCCUUUUAUUUCUCUGUCGAUUUCCAUUGCUCCUGAUUUAAUUGUAAAAUUACGAUUCGCUUCCAUUGCAUCACCAAUUUCAAUAGAUGUGUCUCACCCAGCCCCAGCGAGGCCCGCCUGUCUACCGGUGAGGCUCGGCCUUGCCAGAUCGAGCAAGGCCAAGUCUCACCGGGGCUGGCUCGCCCAACCCCAGCGAGGCUUGCUUGGCCACCAGCGAGUUCGCCGGACCUUGCCUUGGCCCGGCGAGCCUCCAGCGAGCUCGCCGGACGGGCAGACGGCGACUGGCGGCGGCGGACAGCGACGGACGAUGGUGGAUGGCGGUCGCGGGAUGGCGGAAGGGAAGAAGAAGACUUUUACUAUUUUGAUUUUUUUUGAUUCCCAAACUGAGAAUCACAUAUUUUUUUAUUCUCAAUUCUUGGCCAAAACGGUUCCGGGAACAAAAAUUUUACCAAAUGCAAUUCUAGGAACAAAAAAUCAGAAUCAGGCAUUAUUUGUGUCAUUUAGUUCUAAACCUUUUGAUUUAGUGCCAAUUUAGUCAUUCUGAGAAAUUUUGGCUAGAUACUGCGAACGUAGAUGUUGGUUGGCUUACAUGGUACUGAUAUUAACAGAGAUAGUUUUUUUUAAUAAUUUUUAAAUAAUUUUUUGAUUUUUUUUCUUUCUUUUCUUCUUCAUUUUGCCGGCCACCGGCCACGUGCAAUGGUUGGGCCGGUUGGCCUUGCCUAGCCAUGGCAAGGCUAAGCCUUGGCGAGGGCUUCCCUAGCAUAGUCCAGGGUCGGCCUCAACUAGGCCAAAUUUGGCAAGGCUUGCCCGCUUGGCUAUUGCCCGUGGUUAGUCGUCGGCAAAAGGAAGAAAAAAGGAGAGACAAAAGAAAAAAAAAUUGGACAAAAUAAUAAAAAAUUAAAAAAUUAUUAGAAUAAUAUUUCAUGUUAGCAUCAGUGGUGCCACGUUAGUCAACUAGCGUCCAUGUUAGCAAUGUCCAACUAAAAUUUAUCGGAAAGACUGAAUUUGUGUCAAAUUAAAAGAUUUAGGAUUAAAUUGGCACUAAUGCAAUAGAUUUAUGACUAAAUUGACAUUAGUUUAAUGUGUUUAUGACUUUUUUGAAACUUUUCUCCUAUCAAUCAUAGAGUAUCCACAAUUCAAUUAUUACUUAUUUUAAUAAAUAGAACUUGAAAGAACCUUGCUAGUCGGAAUUUGAGAUUGACAAUUGCUUACCAACAAUGGCUAGAAAUGGAAAAGAAGAAAAGAAACUACCAUUGAUCAUGCAUGUUAGCGAUCAUUUCUAAACACUGAAUUUGUUUAUCAUAGUUGAAAAGCUCAUUUCAAAAACUUAAAUUGAUAGAUGGACAGAAAAGAAAAUGUAAAGUACAUAGAAAUAAAUUAGAGCAUAAUUUGGCUUUGGUAUUACAAUAAAUGAUUCAACUUAAAUGCUUGAACUGAUAAUAGAGGGAGAGGACAUGUAUAUAAAAUACAGAUAAACCGCACCAUCAAGCAAUAUGAAAUAUUUUAACAGUCAUACUUUAAAAAUAUUUGAGGUUGAAAGUUAACUAAUAAUUUGCUUCAUAUGUCUCAUAAUUAUAAGAAUCAUACAAGCUCCCAUCUGUGGGGGCCAAUGUAUAAUAGAAGCUUCUAAACAAAGGAGGCAUGACGGGAUAUCAUUAGCCACGAUUCUAGGGUCUGCUGCAAGAAAGAAAAAGGGACCGCAUGCCACGUGGUUACCAACAAAAAGAUAAUUUAUGAACUGUAAGAUCACUUUUGCAUUUGCUAAUACGUAAGAACUUAAAGGUAAUUUAAUGGCGUUGAAACUAAUUUUAUGAACACAAAAGGAAAUAUGGGUUUGCAUUGUACACAGUUGCAGAUAUCCAUAAAUAUUUAAUUUUCGGACUCUCCUUUAAUUGAUCAGGCUUGCUCAUGCAGUCAAACUCAACAUUCUCAACAAUUAGCAACUACGUUGGUUGAAAGACUAAGCGUAAAUGCACUUAUGACACCUUUGCUCAUUUCAAGCAUCUUCCUAGCAGAGUCCACCUGAGUUAAAUAAUCUUAGCUGAAGAAUAAGGUACUGCGCAUGCUCAAAUAAGAAUAUAAGAAGAGCUUUAGAAGUUCACAUGCCGUGUUUAGGAAAUUGGGGAUUCAUCUUGGGACCAUUCGGCGGGGACAUCGUAUUCAUUUGGCCUACGUAGGUAAAGUUCACGCUUUCAUAUAUGUUCAUAUUCGAAAGAAAAUGACAAAAAGGGUGUUUGAAAUAUCUGUGAUUGUUCGCGAAAUUACCUUAGAGAAUUUUGGUCUUUGAUUUUCGCCAAUCAUAUCUAAGAUUGCGUGUAAACAGUCCGGUCGCGGUUUGAGGGAAGAACAUCGUCGCACGGGUUACGAUUCCUCUGCCUUGGAAAGGUGCCUCAAGUGUAGAUUCGCCGCCUCAGCCCUUUUUGAGAAUUAACUAUAGUCGAAGCGAGCUUAUGACUUUCUCCAUGUCUGCUCAGAGGCAGCUCGUUUCGCAAGAGUUUCUUCGACCUAGAGCCAUUCUUCUCCUCUUUUGCUCCAACACCGGCUCCAACUCCUUCCCUUUCUUUGACGAGCGGAUCGGUCGCCCAUAACACUUGUACCUGCAUCAGAUUCAUCAUCUUGAAUGACACCAACCGGGACUUGGCGGGACUUGAGGUUGAGGACUGAGCAGUUCGGGGACAUGCCCAUCACGACCAGUGCCGGAGGAGGCGAAGGCUUGGCAGCCGGCACCGGCAGGUCGUCGGAGGCAGAAGGAUUGGGGCGAGUGAGGGGGCGGUGGCACUUGGAGAUGGAGGAAGACUCGUCGUCUCGUUUGGACGGCCCGAGUCUCGUGGGUGCGUGGGUUUUGAAAUAAUGGGUUGGACUAUAGUUUUUCUCAGUCCAUCCUAGCCCAUUUUAGGGGGUAAAAAAUAAAAUAAAACGAGUUACUGGUACCAAAUUGGGCUCAUUAAAUUUGACUCAUAAAAAUGCCGGGGGAGGCGAAGGCUUGGUUGCCGACAGGUUAUCAGAGGCGGAAGGAUUGGGGCGAGGGAGGAGGCGGCGGCACUUGGAGAUGGAGGAAGACUCAUUGUCUCGUCUGGACGGCCAGAGUCUCGUGGAUGUUUGGGUUUUGAAAUAAUGGGUUGGACUAUAUUUUUUCUCAAUCCAUUUUAGCCCAUUUUAGGGAAAAAGAAGAAGAAGAGUUACUCGUACCAAAUUGGACUCAUUAAAUUUGAGUCAUAAAAAUGACGGGAUCAUAUCAUUAGCCACGCGUCAAGAGUCUGCUGUGAGAAAAAAAGGGAUUGCAUCCCACGUGCCAAAUCGGCUGGUUACCAACACAAAGGUAAUUUAUGAAUUGUAAGAUCACUUUCGCAUUUACUAAUACUUAUGAACGUAAAGGUAAUUUAAUAACGUAGAAACUAAUUUCAUGAAUGCAAAACUAUGACUUACAAACAUCAUUUUGCAGUCAUGAUACAAUAAAGACGUUGCUACAGUUAGACCGCGCUAGCAAUUUAUUAAGAAUAAGUAUAAUUAAGAUCAUCCAAAAUUAGCACUCACCCUAUUUACUAAUCACAAGGGAAAUGACUACCUUAGAGGUGCAUUACAUCUUAAAGGGUAAAUUGCUACUUUUAAUUACUUACUAUAAGGCAUAUGAUUGUCUUAAGAGACGUUGCUACUUUGAAGAGUACUUACACUUAGUGAUUUCCUUAUAACAUAGCAAAUUAUCUCAAACCAUCGCAAGUGAUAAAACACUGGCUAAUUGACCUAAAGCUGUGAUAUAUUGGCUAAACUCCUCACAAUAAUAUUGCACUUAUUUUUCGUACCGUUUUAUUAAAACUAAUGACAUUUCUUUACACUUCGUAAGUUGGGGAUGUUGUCGUCAGUAAUUAUCCAUUGAUGAUUUUAAUUUUCUUAAUUAGUCGCAAUUGGUAGUUCAUUAUGGUUAGUAUUUUUCCAUCUUUAGUUGGCAUUAUGACCACUGGCAUACUUUUUUUUCUUCCCCAGCUGGAAAGUCCCCCGGUCGUACCUGAUCUAGUUAAGGGAAAAAACAAAUACCUUAGCAAGUGUUCUCUUCUUACUUGUAACCAUCUAUAAUCUGACUACAACCACAACUCACUCCUUACAUUAAGCACAUCAUAUAAAGAAAGAAGAAAGAGAAGAGAAUUCCAUGUAUUAAUAUUACCUACUGUUGAUACUCCAUUCCAUCAUCCAUGUAAACUCCAUUCUUUUACAUGCAUCAUCCAUCAACGUCUAAGACACUUAUCGUUUAAACCAGCACAUAGACACAUGCAUUCUCAAACGUAUCGUACAUAAUUGGCUAAUGGGCACACUGAAUAGCACAUAAUAUAUAGCAUCUUCUCUUGCAUGGACUCAUGGCUCAAUGCAUUUCUUCUAGGACAAACGCACUUUAGCAGUAGAAAGCCACUAAACCAUAGGAUCCUCCCUCUUCCCUUUAUUGAAGGCUUUGUAGACAAAUUUCAGGGCUUUGCAGACUAACUUCAGGACUUUGAGUACCAAUUUCCAGAUUAAGCGGAUUACAUGGCACAGGAAAAUAAGAGACAUCAACCAUGUCCAUGCUUGCACCGCAAUUACAACUACUGGAUCCUUAAUUGGAUUAAGCGGAUCAUACGUUUUGUCCUUCUCCGGUGAGGCGAAUACCAGGAGGAUUGAAUAACUCAAUCUGUGCAGGUUAUCGCAACCCACAUAGUUAGCAUUACAAUCCAAGUGGUGAUCCGACGCCGCUUUAAGGGAAGACCACUUAUGAGAAAUAUAAUGGUGCUAAGUGAUGCGAUGAAGCUUAUCGUGUUAGAUGCUUUGAAAAACUGGUAAUAGUCAUCGAAGCCGUUCAUUGCCUUUGCAGAUUCGUCAGGUGGGUCCUUACCCGCUUCGUAAGCUAUGGUAGCGACCAAUAUCGCCACAAUCAUUAGCGCCUCAUGCAUACCCUGUUGCCACUUUCUUUUCCUUUCCCUCUUGAUCUCUUUUUUUUCUAAGUGGAAGGAAGGUGGUGCCCAUGUUAUUCGGAAAGACUGUUCCUUUGUAUGGGUUGUGAUUCUCUGAAGUUUGAGGAACAGAAUUCACUAUCUCUAAGGCUCUUUCCAUGCUUUGGCCUUGUGCCAGUAGGCCUAGUGCUGUGAAACCUUUGUAGUUCGUUAUGUUUGGGUCUACUCCUUUAUUAGUAAGGAAGAUUAUAGUCUGCAGAGAAAUAACAACAGAAUGUACCAAUUGAUGUUAAGUUUGAACUAGACAAGCCCAUGUUAUAUACUUUUGAGACUAAGUUUGCCUCUAGUGUUUUUAAGUCCUCAAAUGUUUGUGACUAUUAUGUGAUGUCUUCAAAAGGGAAUCUCAUUUCUUGUUGAAUUUCUUCUGCUUCUUUGUUUCUAUCUUCCUUCUAAUCUAGAUGAAAUUAGUGUGAAAAUAACGUGAAGUGUAAAGUCGUAGUUAAUUAUAUGGACGGAUGACUUCUUUUCCAAAUAUUAAGCCUAUGAUGAUUUAGGAAAAAGCAUCGGAAAAGUCUUCAACUUAUGGUAUUGGUAUAAAUUGAAUCAUAAACUUUUUAAUUGUGCCAAUUUAAUCAUAAAUCUUAUGACCUAGUGUCAAUUCAGUCAUUUUGGCUAAUUUUAACCAGAUAUUGCUAACUUGGAUCCCAUUCAGUUUAUGUGGCACAGCUAGCACUGAUGUGAAUAAUUUUUAAUAUUUUUUUUUCCUUUUUACUUUCUUUUCUUGGUGACCAGUUGUCGACCACUGGCCAUGGCUGGUUGGCUGGACUUGCUUGGGUGAGGGGUCUUCGUUGCCUGCCAUAAGCGAGGUUUAUCCCCAUUGAGGGCUCCCCUCCCUCAGGUUGGGGCGACCUCGCUAGAUCUAGCCCAGGCAAGGCUAGCCUUGGCCCAUGCUAAGGAAGCCUUCGCCUUGUUAAGGCUCACCCUCGCUCGACUAGGCUUUGCCUUUGGUGGGCAACAACAACCCUCGUCCAGGCAAGACUAGCUUGUCCAAUCAUGGGUAGUGGUUGGUAAAAGGAAGAAAAAGAACAAAAGGAAAGAAAAAAUCAGAAAAAUAUGAAAAAAUCAGAAAAAUAUAUUAUUAAAAAUUAUCCAUAUCAGUGUUGCCAUGCAACAUAGGACAGUCGGCGUCGAUAUUAGUAAUUUUUAGCCAAAAUUAGUUCGAUGGAUUGAAUUGAUACUAAAUCAAAAAGUUUAGGACUAAAUUAACACAAUUAAAAUGUUAAGAAUUUUUUUAACACUUUUUCCUGGUGAUUAAUAAAUGGAUGUCUUUUAACUUGCGAAUAUUUCUAGAACAUUCAUGUUUCCUAAAACCGCCUUUUUUAUUGAUAAGCUCAAUGAAUUUGACUAAUGUAAAGGCUUGGUUGUAUGAACAUACCUCAGUUUGUCCAUCUACAGCAGCUAAAUGUAAAAUUGUGUUGCCAUCUUCGUCCCUUGAGUUGACGAACUGAUCAUCACCCAAUAUAUCUAUCAAAAGCUUCAAAGCUUCCAGUUUGUUGUGCUUCACGCAUAAAUGUAGAAUCAUUUGGCCAUUUUCGACGACACUGUGAGUUGCUUUAGGUGUUGCUCGAACCAAGCAUUCCAACACAUCCACAUGUCCUUUCAUAGCUGCGACAUGAAGAGGGUUUCUUUUGUAUUUGUCACGGACGAAACAUAUUUCGGGGUUGACUCUUACCAAGCUUUCCACUAUGUGAAGGUACCCUUUUGCUGCCGCGAGAUGAAGCGGCGUCAAACUCUGAGAUUCUUGCUCUCUUGCCAGCUCAGUCUUUCGAGCUAGGAUCUCUUCCACAAAAUCCAAGUGUCCGAGCAUGGUUGCGAUAUGCAAAGGAGUCUCAUUGUGAUUCCCAGUCAUAAUUCUGUCAAGAAGCAACUUAUCUUUUCUGAGUAACUCAACCAAAGAACGCACAUUUCCUUCCACGGCAGCUUCAUAGAGCUCGGAAUCCAUGUUUGGCUCUCUAAAAUGAGAGUUUUGGGAUACUCACUACUCCAGUUUGGACUUGAAUAUAUAUUGUAAAGGUAGGCUUGACGAGGAUAAAAAAAUGAUCGGUGGAUAAUUUGACAUCUCUUAUCUGCAAGUACGUGGCUCAAGUUUCCGUUGGCCAAACGUCGUUGCGCCUUGGAUGUUUCUAUACACACGCUAGGAGAAUUAUCUAUUGAAUGCUGACGUGAUAAUUAUUAAACAAUCUUUCUUUAUUUUUAUCCAAUUUUUUUAUUAAUUUUUUCUCUUUCCUCUCCUAUCUCAUUGGGCUUUUUUUCUCACAAUGGCCGAUGAGGCUUCAAUGAGACUUGCAGCCACAAAGUCCUUGAUAGCCGCCGCUGCGCCAAUGAGGAUCACAGCCCUUGCCCGGCCUCCCCCAAAUCUGGCAAGGCCUAGGGGCUGUGGGUGAGGGCCACAAUCCUUGUUGGUGGCCGAUGAGGGCUUCGCGGUCCUCGCCUAGCCUCACUAGCCAUUGCGGGAAGAAGCCGAAGGAGGAAGAAGAGCAAAAAGAAAAAAAGAAUUAAUUAAAAAAUAUUGAAAAAAAAUAUUUAAAAUUACUAAGUUUACAUUGAUUGAUUAGCAUUUGCCAUUUACGUUCAAAAUUAAUUAGAUGGAUUAAAUUGAUAUCAAUGUAAAAAAAAAUUAAAAUUAAAUUGAUCCAAUUAAAAAAAUUUAUACUAAAUGAUAUUAAUAUUAUAAAUUUAAGAUUUUUUUUUUGUACUUCACCCAUAAUUAUUAUAACAUGAAAUCCAAACAUGUGGACCCAUAUUAUCUUUGUUCAUUUAAUUUUCGCACGAGACUCACGGGAAUCAGAAACUAAGAUGACGGUGCCAUCCCAAUUGCUACUUGAGCUGGGAGGCCUCCAUUUUGGGAGCUCUUUUGCAUUUUUUCUUAAAUUGGGUAGGAAAGAUCUGUUUAUAUAUCCAUCGGGCCGUUAUAUUCCAAUCUAAUUGCAAACAUGCAAUGACUAGAAAUUCAAUCGAAUUGUUAGAAUUUAGUAUGUAUUAGAGAUAGUCCCACAUACUCUAUUAAUCAUUUGACAGUUGAAAGCCCUUACUAGAUUUCAUUACAAAGAAACAUGUCUCAUUACACAUAUCGAAAUCUUAUAAGAUAACAGAGGGAACUCCACAAGCCCCUAAAAACUUUCGUAGACAGAACUAAAACCGGGCCAUCAUCAACGGGCCUUGACUUUGAUGGUCUUGGUCUUCGGCUCCGGCGGCCGCACCUUCUCGACGGCCACCCUGAGCACCCCGUCCUGGCACGCCGCGGUCACCGUCUCCACAUUAGCGUUCUCCGGCAGCGCGAACCUCCUCAGGAACUUCCCGGUCCUCCUCUCCAUGCUCAGGUACUUGGCCCCUUCCUCUUUCUCCCUCUUCCUCUCCCCGCUCACGACGAGCACGUUGUCGUUCUCUAUCUGCACCUUGAUCUCGCUGGCCCUUAUCCUGGGCAUGUCCACGACGAACACGUAGGAGACCGGGUACUCCACGACGUCCGCAGGGGUCGCCGCCAUGGCCUUUGCAUCGCGGACGUAGGCGCGCGAGGGGUUGCUCCUCUCUCGGGCUCCUCGGGGAAGUCGAGCAUGUCUUCGAGGAUCCCAAAGAGGCGCGAAUCGAAGCCGAGAUUACGCAGAUCCAUCGGGCUGUUCGCUUUUCCUCGUCUUGAAGAGGGAGUGUGCUUGAUUGUGGGAUGCAGAGGCUGGAGCUCUAGUUAACUGGGGUUUUAUAGAGCAGUUUGAAGGAG